Molecule: ribosomal RNA, 408 nt
Filed under: uncultured bacterium
Lineage: Bacteria
Description: bacterial SSU rRNA
Rfam family: Bacterial small subunit ribosomal RNA
Source: RNAcentral
AACGAACGUUAGCGGCGCGCCUAACACAUGCAAGUCGAGCGAGAAAGGGCUUCGGCCCCGGUAAAGCGGCGCACGGGUGAGUAACACGUGGAUAACCUACCCCUUGGUGGUGGAUAACCUUCCGAAAGGAGGGCUAAUACAGCGUAAGACCACGACUUCGAAAGAGGUUGAGGUAAAAGUGGGCCUCUGUACACAAGCUCACGCCAGGGGAUGGGGUCCGCGGCCCAUCAGCUAGUUGGUAGGGUAACGGCCUACCAAGGCGAAGACGGGUAGCUGGUCUGAGAGGAUGAUCAGCCACACUGGAACUGAGACACGGUCCAGACUCCUACGGGAGCAGCAGUGGGGAAUCUUGCGCAAUGGACGAAAGUCUGACGCAGCGACGCCGCGUGAGUGAUGAAGGCCUUCGGG